This 253-nucleotide ribosomal RNA is filed under the name uncultured bacterium. Its description in RNAcentral is "partial 16S ribosomal RNA". It matches the Rfam family "Bacterial small subunit ribosomal RNA", at positions 524 to 776 of the family's 1533-position model. The record is from RNAcentral.
UACGGGGGGGGCAAGCGUUGUUCGGAAUUACUGGGCGUAAAGGGCUCGUAGGCGGCCAACUAAGUCAGACGUGAAAUCCCCAGGCUCAACCUGGGAACUGCGUCUGAUAUUGGAUGGCUUGAAUCCGGGAGAGGGAUGCAGAAUUCCAGGUGUAGCGGUGAAAUGCGUAGAUAUCUGGAGGAAUACCGGUGGCGAAGGCGGCAUCCUGGACCGGCAUUGACGCUGAGGAGCGAAAGCUAGGGGAGCAAACGGG